UCGAUAGUCCACGUUGAACCUUACUUAUAUUAUUUCUUGUAUACCGCUGUUUGAGAAUAUACUUUUAGGUUAUUUUCUUAAUAUAUUAUUAAUUAAAAUUUCAGGUCAAGGUGCAGUAAUAUAUAAGUUGAAUAAUGGAUUACAAUAAAUUUUAUUUAUAUGGAUUGUUAUUGAAAUAUAAUUUGAAGGUGGAUUUAAUUGUAAUUUUUUAAAGAUUAUUAAAAUGAUUAAUACUCUAUAAUAUGUACACAUCGCCCGUCGCUCUCG
This 267-nucleotide ribosomal RNA is filed under the name Tenodera sinensis (Chinese praying mantis). RNAcentral describes it as "partial 12S ribosomal RNA". Lineage: Eukaryota; Metazoa; Arthropoda; Insecta; Mantodea; Mantidae. The record is from RNAcentral.